AUUGAACGCUGGCGGCAGGCCUAACACAUGCAAGUCGAGCGGAAGAAGGGAGCUUGCUCCUGGAUUCAGCGGCGGACGGGUGAGUAAUGCCUAGGAAUCUGCCUGGUAGUGGGGGAUAACGUCCGGACACGGGCGCUAAUACCGCAUACGUCCUGAGGGAGAAAGUGGGGGAUCUUCGGACCUCACGCUAUCAGAUGAGCCUAGGUCGGAUUAGCUAGUUGGUGGGGUAAAGGCCUACCAAGGCGACGAUCCGUAGCUGGUCUGAGAGGAUGAUCAGUCACACUGGAACUGAGACACGGUCCAGACUCCUACGGGAGGCAGCAGUGGGGAAUAUUGGACAAUGGGCGAAAGCCUGAUCCAGCCAUGCCGCGUGUGUGAAGAAGGUCUUCGGAUUGUAAAGCACUUUAAGUUGGGAGGAAGGGCAGUAAGUUAAUACCUUGCUGUUUUGACGUUACCAACAGAAUAAGCACCGGCUAACUUCGUG
This 484-nucleotide ribosomal RNA is filed under the name uncultured bacterium. RNAcentral describes it as "partial 16S ribosomal RNA". It matches the Rfam family "Bacterial small subunit ribosomal RNA", at positions 30 to 507 of the family's 1533-position model. The record is from RNAcentral.